RNAcentral lists this ribosomal RNA (205 nucleotides) under uncultured bacterium. RNAcentral describes it as "partial 16S ribosomal RNA". It matches the Rfam family "Bacterial small subunit ribosomal RNA", at positions 28 to 236 of the family's 1533-position model. The record is from RNAcentral.
GACGAACGCUGGCGGCGUGCUUAACACAUGCAAGUCGAGCGGUAAGGCCCUUCGGGGUACACGAGCGGCGAACGGGUGAGUAACACGUGGGUGACCUGCCUCUAGCUCUGGGAUAAGCCUGGGAAACUGGGUCUAAUACCGGAUAUGACUCCACGGCGCAUGUUGUGGGGUGGAAAGCCUUGUGUGGCUAGAGAUGGGCCCGCGG